RNAcentral lists this unclassified non-coding RNA (307 nucleotides) under uncultured fungus. RNAcentral's name for it is "partial contains 5.8S ribosomal RNA, internal transcribed spacer 2, and large subunit ribosomal RNA". The stretch from base 1 to 52 matches the Rfam family "5.8S ribosomal RNA", at positions 103 to 154 of the family's 154-position model. Lineage: Eukaryota; Fungi. The record is from RNAcentral.
AACGCACAUUGCGCCCUCUGGUAUUCCGGAGGGCAUGCCUGUUUGAGUGUCAUUAAUCUCUCACAAGACCAUUUGGUGUCAAAACCGCCUGGUCUCUGUUGAAGUUGGGACGUGCGAUCCUCAGGGAUCGCUGUCCUCAAAUGGAUUGGUGCGGCCCGCCGCCCGGUUACACAACGUUCUAGGUUCGUCCAACUCGUUGCUCUCCGGUGCAUUCAAGGCGCCGCACCUAAAGCCCGCCUCGUGCCCCGUGCUCUUGGCAUCUUCAUUUAUUGACCUCAGAUCAGGUAGGAAUACGCGCUGAACUUAA